GGCCCUGACUGGGGAAUAAAGGCCCCGCCAGCCUCCUUCCCACCUCGGCUGGUGCAAGGAGCGUCUGGGUCAGGGUUUGGACCAUGUCCCGGCUGGUGGAAUGUGUCCCCAACUUCUCAGAGGGGAACAAUCAGGAGGUGAUUGAUGCCAUCGCUCGAGCAGUGGCCCAGACCCCGGGCUGCACGCUGCUGGACGUGGACGCCGGCCCCUCCACCAACCGCACUGUCUACACCUUCGUGGGGCGCCCUGAGGACGUGGUGGAGGGGGCCCUGAAUGCCGCCCGCACUGCCCACCGGCUCAUCGACAUGAGCCGGCACAGAGGGGAGCACCCCCGGAUGGGUGCCCUGGACGUGUGCCCCUUCAUCCCAGUGAGGGGCGUCACCAUGGACGAGUGUGUGCUGUGUGCCCAGGCCUUUGGCCAGCGGCUGGCAGAGGAGCUGGGUGUGCCAGUGUACCUCUAUGGUGAGGCGGCACGGAUGACCAGCCGCCAGUCCCUGCCAGCCAUCCGGGCCGGGGAGUACGAGGCCCUCCCUGAGAAGCUCAAGCAGGCCGAGUGGGCACCCGACUUCGGGCCCAGCUCCUUCAUUCCCAGCUGGGGGGCCACCGCCACAGGGGCACGGAAGUUCCUCCUGGCAUUCAACAUCAACCUGCUCAGCACCAAGGAGCAGGCGCACCGCAUCGCCCUCAAUCUCCGUGAGCAGGGUCGUGGGAAGGACCAGCCAGGACGCCUGAGCAAGGUGCAGGGCAUCGGCUGGUACCUGGAUGAGAAGAACCUGGCUCAGGUGUCCAUGAACCUCCUGGACUUUGAAGUCACAGGGCUGCACACCGUCUAUGAGGAGACCUGCAGAGAAGCCCAGGAGCUGAGCCUCCCAGUGGUGGGCUCGCAGCUGGUGGGCCUGGUGCCUCUGAAAGCCCUGCUGGAUGCGGCCACCUUCUACUGCGAGCAGGAGAAUCUGUUCCUCCUGGAGGAGGAGCAGCGGCUCAGGCUGGUGGUGAACCGGCUGGGCCUGGACUCCCUGUCCCCCUUCAACCCCAAGGAGCGGAUCAUCGAGUACCUGGUCCCCCAGGACGGGCCCGAGCAAAGCCUGGUGGACCAGCCCCUGCGCGCUUUCAUCCGGGCCGUGGGUGCCCGCUCGGCAGCCCCGGGGGGCGGCUCUGUGGCCGCAGCCAGUGCAGCCAUGGGCGCCGCCCUGGCCUCCAUGGCCGGCCUGAUGACCUAUGGGCGGCGCCAGUUCGAGCACCUGGACGUGACCAUGCGCCGCCUGAUCCCGCCCUUCCGCGCCGCCGUGGCUGAGCUGACUGCGAUGGUGGACGCCGACGCCCGGGCCUUUGAGGCCUACCUGAAAGCGACAAAGCUGCCCAAGAACACACCUGAGGACAAGGACAGACGUGCGGCCGCCCUGCAGGAGGGGCUGAGGCAGGCGGUGGCUGUGCCCUUGGCGCUGGCAGAAACGGUGGCCUCACUGUGGCCGGCACUGCGAGAGCUGGCCCUGUGUGUGAACCUGGCCUGCAGGUCAGACCUGCAGGUGGCAGCCAAGGCCCUGGAGACAGGUGUGUUUGGCGCAUAUUUCAACGUGCUCAUCAACCUGAAGGAUGUCACUGAUGACGCGUUUAAGGACCAGGUCCGCCGGCGCAUCUCCAGCCUCCUGCAAGAUGCCCAGAGACAGGCAGCCCUGGUGCUGGACGGGCUGGAGGCCCGGCAGGAGUGAUGGCUGAGCAGGGAAUCGACGGACUCCACUCCCCCUUGCAGCCCCUCCAGACGCGUCCUGGGGGCCCAGAUGUGGGGGAUGUGAGGGGCAAGGAUAGGGGGCUGUGAGGAGUGGGCAUGGCUGGGGUUGGCAGUGCCAGUAAAGUGAUGACACACUGGUG
RNAcentral lists this unclassified non-coding RNA (1869 nucleotides) under Bos taurus (domestic cattle). RNAcentral describes it as "formiminotransferase cyclodeaminase". The record is from RNAcentral. Lineage: Eukaryota; Metazoa; Chordata; Mammalia; Artiodactyla; Bovidae.